Anas platyrhynchos (mallard) is the source of this 3309-nucleotide non-coding RNA. NCBI's taxonomy places the organism in Eukaryota, Metazoa, Chordata, Aves, Anseriformes, Anatidae. The record is from RefSeq and is a predicted model, not a curated record.
GAAUGCACUCGAGACAGCUCAUCGAAAACAUCUGAAGUAACAUCCCUGUGUAGACAGGACUUCAUUAUGUUACUUGUUAUUGUUUUCAGUGAGUCCUCACCUGCUCUUUAAAGCACAACAUACAUUACGAGAGAAAAUUAUUGCUCAUUAUUGUUGUAUUCCUUAAUUGCCUUCUAUAUUAGUGCGUUCAAAGGAAUGCAUUUUUCCUCUUCUGCCCUCUGCCUGCAUCCAGCAGCACUCAGCAUUUUCCACAGAGCUCCGAAUUGCUUGCAUUCUUACAAAAAUGCCUCAGCCAUAUGGGAUUUGCUGAGACCAAAUGAAAAGUGCAUGACUUGGGAAAAUGCAACACUUUAUACUGCGUAUUGAUUCCAUGGGCACUGUACAAACAGAAAAUGUUAGUGAAAAAAAUGUCUACAGGCUUUAGUGGUGUGAGAGUUCACGUUCUGCACAGGCCAGGCGUGGCCGGAGCUCACCGGUCAAGAAAGUGUGACGUUGCACUAAGGGGCAGGGGUGAACUUUGAUGCUUGUAAAUAUAUUGCACCAGCCAAGCUCCAGCUGCAACCUUGCAGUUUUCCAGGCAGAUCUACUUCCUUUUGCCAGAGGAAUGUGAGCCACUGCAGCUAAUUUUGUGCUGUAUAAAUAAUGCUGAUAAAGAGACAAGCCUGAGAUUAGACAGGCUAGAUAGCCAAAAUAAUAGAUUAAAUCAGAAAGGUGAAGCAUUUGUUAAUCAGAAAUAUGAGUAUGUUCCCUAAGAAGCUGCAGGAACCCGACUGUAAUGAUGAUGAAUGAGAGAUCCCAGAAUAAUAAGAUCAGUCUUGCAUAUAGGCAGAGCUGCAUCUGAGACUCCGUAUGACAUGGAUGUGCUUGUUGUACAGAGAAAUUGGGCCUUUAUGUUCUGAUAGAGGACAUUUCCUCUUCUUAAUGGCCUGUUCUUGACAUGCUGACAGAGCGAAGGCUGUGCUGUGUGCCUGGUGCUGCUUUGCUCUUUCCCCUUCUGCUCCUUCUUCUCUCCAGCAUCUUCCUUCCUAUGGCAUUACAGGGCCAGACUGAGGGACACCAAAAGCAGGGAUCAUUGCCAGGGGGACAGACACGAGGCUGGUAUCCUGACUAUACUGUUCAGCUUAAUGGAGACACCAGAAGCAUGGCAGAUGCUUAUAGGAUGCGCAGGAUCCCAGAAAAGUAGCCUGAUUUCCAAAACAGGUGAACAUUUGCAAUUUCUGUAAAGAACAAUGACAACUCAUCAUUCCAUGGAAGAUUGUUUCAUUCUACAAGUUUCCCACACAGGAUUUCCACACCAAGUCUCAGGCCCACACUGUGGAAAACAUUGGUACAGGAUGACGAUACAAGAAGGAUGUGGGCACCCACCAGAUUCUACCAAACACAUUGAGACUCUGCCAUGUUUAAUCUCCUAGGCGUAUUAUGUUGGAAUGAAUUAUAAAAAGACUUCAGGGUGAAGCUAUGACUAAUCAGAACAGUAGGUAACAAGAAGACUGCUGAGAGAAGAAAGCAGGGAAUUCACUGCAGCGCAAGAUGCACAGGGUGCUACGUAACAGGAGGCUCUGCCAAAGGCUAGCUGCACGUGGGCAGCCUUGUCGCCCUUCAGAGGCAACCCUUUCAUUCAGCUGGUCUGCAGGCAGUCACUUUCUUCACUCUCCUGCACAGAAGCAGUGGAGUAAAAGCAUCAAGAUCAGGUAGGCAGCCUGCUACUUCCCACUUUGGUGAGGAGACUUUGCCAAAAUUAGGGGCAUGAGGGAAGCGAGCUGCUGGUUGCCUUCUUCUUCAAUCCUCUUUGCAGAUAGGAAUCUAGACACUGGACGUUCUUCCUGCUGCAUAAUAUAUACCUUUCCUCAUUCUUCUGAGCAGUGUAUACCUUGACUCAUUUCUGUCCAACUUCAAAGGCACAGAAAUCAGAGGGAGAUCUCUCAGACCUCUUCUCACCAGAAUGAAGUCAUAUCGUCUCACCUCAGGACAGGCAAACAGUGAGUAGUCUGAGCUGAGAUUUUAAAGAUGAGGGUGUUAUCAUUUCAUCUUCAGGAUCUAGUUAACAUCCAAGCUUCUUAUCCAAGUUUGUCUAGAUCUAGUAGGCAAAAAUGCCAAUUUGGAUUUUAUUUAAAAAUAGUUAAACAGGUACAGUAUCUGUUUAUUGAGGUACAAUUAUUAUCAGGAGAAGUCAAAGAGCAGACACAGAAUGCAGGACUCAAAAUCUAAAGUAAGACUGCUGAAAGAAUAACAAUGGUUCUAUUGUACUCCAGUACAAAAGCAAAUAUGAUGGCCUAAUUGAAUUUUAUUGGGUGCUGCUUUCUAAUUGUAGAUGUGACUGAAUGAUCCAAACUGUAGAAGGUGGUUGGCUAAUACUCUGAGUAGUGUGAUUCCUUAAGAAAACCUAGCUAUGACACAGCAUCCACCUUUAAUUGGUACCUUUCAUCUCAGAUAACUGAGGAAUUAAGAGGAUAAACACAGCCACCUUAGGUUUUCAUUACUUGUCUGUCUCUUUUAUAGGCCUUUACAGUUCAGUAGCUCUCAAUGUCAUGAAGCAACCAGUUCACGAGAGAAGUCUCCAAGAAAUUCAACACACACAAGUUCAAAAGGCUGGUUGCUUUAAACCCUCUUUGAAGCUUCCACACAUGUGAAAUCCAAGCAGUUGUUUUAAAUAAAAGCUCUAAAUGUGAGCCAUGGCAGCUCAGUCUGCAGAAGGCUUGUGAAUACAGAAGAGUAGACUGACAGCACAAUUACCUGUAAGGUGUGCCCACUGCGUGCUGGGCUUGGGUUUUUGUUCAUGUCACCACAUGUGACAGAAGGUCACCCGAAAGGUGAUUCCUGCUGUCCUACCACUGCAGUCCUCAUGCUGACUGGCUCUGGCAGGCAGUCCUCCUGCUGAGGACCGUCUUCAUCUAUCACAGCUGACUCCAGCCGUGAUUUGGUUGGGAAGGAUGUGGGCAUCAUGCCAUGAUAUAUGUCGCACUGGGUGACACUAGCUGUGUGUGGUGGCAGAACCCCCUAACUGCCUCCUUACUCCCUCUUAAUUCUGAAUAUCAACAAUUAAUACUAUCCUCUAAUUCUCUCCAAGUCUGUGUUUGCACAGUAUUGUUGGAUCCUUUUUUAUGGGGCCAUGAAUGGAGAGACAAGACAGGUAAUUAUUAGGUGAGAUCAAUCUGUCUAUUGAGAGCACUGGGGCUAUAUGACUCAUUGAAUUAUCUGAGUAGACAAACAAACCAGAAAGUAUUAAAAGAGUGGUUCUGAUCAAUACAAAUAAAAACACAUUUUUGUUCUUGCUGAGAACAGGGAGAAAAAGGAAAAAAAAAAAAAAAA